Gorilla gorilla gorilla (western lowland gorilla) is the source of this 6981-nucleotide long non-coding RNA. RefSeq lists it as uncharacterized. Lineage: Eukaryota; Metazoa; Chordata; Mammalia; Primates; Hominidae. The transcript is spliced from 2 exons. The record is from RefSeq and is a predicted model, not a curated record.
UGCUGUAAGGCAAGGAGUGCAGUGAUUUCUCAAGGCCUUUCCUCAUCUCUCCUUCCUUCUGAGAUUUCUGAGUUUCCUUUGUGUACUAUUUCUAGUCCACAUUUCAAAUUAUUCUGCAGUUUCAACCAGACUACAUAAGGGGACAAAGGAAAAAGCUGCUGUCCCCUUAAUAAGGCUGCUUUAACACAUCAGCCUUGGAAGCUCCAGCAUUUCUCUCCAUCCCAAGAAUGUGUUUAUGCUUUGACAGAGGAGCAGAGUAAUUUCCAUCUGAUCAGAGAAAAGGUGACUUGUGUAUUCCAGACCAUGUGUUCUACUUUGCAGUCCAGCUUCUCACUCUUUUUCAUGCUGAUGCAAGUAGUUCUAUGAACAUUGGGGUGCUUUAGAAAUACUGACUGAAUGAAUUAAUAGAGUACGUAAAUAGUUUUUUUCUGCCUUGGGCUCUCUCCAUUUAUUUGCACAGUACUAUCUAAAUUCUUAAAAUAAUUGUAAACUUAAAGUUGUACAAAAGUAGUUUUCAAACUGGUUUAGCCAACUAUGCUGGUAUUUGGUAAUUCCAUUAGGGAAUAGCCACAUCCCUUCUAGGGAGUAUCUCCUGAGGUCACUGAUCCUUUUAUUCAUCAUCCAGGAGAUAAACAUGAGAAUAAAAGCCUUAUAACCAGCCAGAGACCCAGAUUUCUGCCCUCCAGAAGGCUAGAGCAAGUUCUCCCAUUGCUGUGAAGAGAUUUAUGAUAGUCAUGAAGUUGACCUAUACAUGCUUCUGGGUACUGAUGCUGCAAAGACUGAAAACAGUUACAUUCCUACAAUUUCAGAGUUGAUUUAUGUGAUAGGGUCAAAAUGAAGUGCUCCAGAGAGACAUCAACAACAUUCUUAUACUGAAAUAUAUGUUCAGUGUGUAUAGAUUUUCUGAGCUCAUUACCCAGAAGAUUUUAAUUUCCUGCUGAAAAGAGUAUCUUGAUUAAAGACACACAUAGACACACACACACACACACGCCUAUACACACUGCCUACAAACAGGCUUUCCUCACUGAUGUGGGACAAUUCUGACAAAGUUUUUUUAAGUCUCCCUUUACAUGGCACAGAUUGUUCCAACUUAUCACAAAUAUACCAGCUGGACAAAAAUCAGGAAUAGUUGACAUAGAUAGUACAGAACGCAGGCAAGAUAAACAGAGCCACACAGAAAGCUCUUCAGUAACAGUUUAAUUUUAUGCAACUAAGACUGUGCCCUUAGAUGUAGAGCCCAAUGUGAGGGAUCAGUUUCUUAUGAUAGAGUAAUAUUUAUAACAUCUAACUUUUCUACCUUAUGGCAGAAUGCCCUGUGAAUCCUUGAAACUCAAGGCCCUCUUUGUCAGAGUUUUGGUUCUUACUGCAAAGUAUGUUCUUUCCUUAUGUCAUCCAAACAAAGUAACUAGAGUAGUAAAAAGAAAGUCAGUGAGUUUGGAUGCAUUGGCUUUCUGGACUUGCAAAUUAUCCAGUGCAGGCAUUUCUCACACAGCAGGCUUGGAGGACUCUGGGGGUGGCCACCUUUGCUAGAUAUGCUGUUAACCUCCUUCAUAUGGUUGGGUCAGUGAUCUUGUAAAGUUCUGCUUGGCAGGCUCAUAGGUGUUGAUAGGUGCCCUAAACUGAUGGACCAGUAGAGUGUGGCCACCAUCUGUGAGGUUAUUUCUUCAGGCCCUCAAUAAGCACUUACCCAAAUGCACUGAUUUUACAGUGCUGUGGUUCUGUACUGGAUUCCAUGAAGCACCCUUCCCGUCUCUGAUUUUCCAGGAUCAUUUUCCUUAAGUUAAUGCCAUUCCUGUAAAUGCAUUUCUACUCUUUGAUCCCUUUUCUUUAGUUUACACUUUCAGUUAAAUCUGUAACCAAGAUAAUCUUUGAAAAUUAUUUUAAUUAAUGUUUAUAUUUAGCUCUAUAGUCUAUGUAAGGAGAUCCAGGGUUACAAGAGUCUGCUUGAAAAAAUAGAGCCACAACAGAUCAAAUUUUCUUAGCAGAGGAUUGUAUUUUUUGAAAUGUUAAAAAUUCUCCUAUAAUUAAAUAUUUAAACCUUAUUUCAUCAUUUUUCUAAGCGUUUUUACUUUAGGGUUUACUAAAGGAAUCCAAAUCAAUUUCAUAAACUUCUCUGUAUAGGAUUUCAAAUAGAACAUUUUUAUGGAAAUAGGGUGAAUGUGUUAUAGAGGAAGAAAUGCUUCUGCCUCUCUGCCUACUUCCCUAUUGACCCUCUCUCUCGUUCUCCCACAUCCUUUAGGGAAGAAUGGCUUGCCAUUCUGUUUGGUCAGUUAAAGUAUUGGUUGGCCAUGUUUAUCGAUGGCCAGAUCAACCAUAAAAAGACCAUGCCCAUGGAUGGUGCUCCUUUUGCAUUUCUUGCUUCCACUCCAUGGGUUGGAAUAGAGAUAGUCCAGAUUUUGAGGAGAAGCUGAGAUGUGUGGGGAAGAGGGGCAGGUAGGGAGGGAGUGUCUUUCUUAGGCCUUAAGAAUGAACCAUGUGCUCUUACCUGACCUUACCAAGCUCUGAAAGAUAAUUGUCGUUUUGGUUCCCAGUUGCUAUCAGUCUUGCUAUGUGUAGCUCUUCUGGAAAUGUCAGCAUCAGGAGUGAAUGGCAGGAUAAGAUUUGGGCAUUUGUGAAGUUCUCUAGUCAGGUUCCAUUAAUGCAAUCACAAUUCCAGCCUCUGUCCUUUAUCAGUCGUCUUAGCAGAUCUGUCUUAUUUUUCAGUGAUAAACGUAGAGAGCUACGGGCAAAAACAUCAAAGGUAUCAUUCAUAUCUUUCAAUUCUCAAGUAGGCCUCGAGUAAGAGAAGAAGGCUUUGAAAUCAGUUACUCUGACUCCCAAAGAAGACCUGCUUGAGACUUCUAACCCUCCAUUCUAAAUGAGCAAAAGUUUCAUCUCCCUGAAAGCAGAGGGAAGACAUUGCUGGGUCAGUUUCAAAGGCUCAUUGGUUACCUUCCUGCCACAAUAAACCAUUGAGAGUCUCUGCUCCCAGUUCCUGGCAUGGUGGAAAUUAACCUUAUGCUCACCUUCAUCUAUAUACUUCUGAGUGAGAACUUGAACUUCAUCAUCCCCCUCUAGCUCCCCAGGAAAGUGAAGAGGUAUGGAAUAUGCCCUCAGUAGCCUGGCUUGAUUCUAUCUUUUGGCUGUUUGCUGCAUUUGUAGAAGGAAAAGAACAAUAGAAAACAUUGCUUCUCUCUUUGCAGACUAAGCAUUUACAGUGGAACAUAGCUAAGUAGGAAACCAAGAAAAAGAGAGGAUGAGAUGUUAACUCACGAAUCGAGUUACUCUUGUGUGCUCCAGUAACAGAUGUCCAAGCGUCUUCAGGCCUACCUUUGUGCCUCCUUUUUUAAACAUAUUUGAUCAUCUGCAAGUUGUACUGAUUUACAUCAUAUGAAACCCAUGAGAUGUGCUUGAGGCAGGGGAAUGAAGGAAUUAAAGGCUUUUUCCGUAUGUUAUUUUCACCCUGAAGUAGUUAACCUAUCCCAGUGUGUAUCAAAAGCAGAAGAAACUGAUUCUGCAAUGCCAAGUUGUUUCUGCCUUGGACCAUUUACCAUACCUGAAUCUUAUGUGUCUUUUUUUUUUUUGCUGAACCUCAUCCACAAAAUUUGUUGUAGGCAGUUCAAAAAAAAUUAUUUAAAUUAAAUUAGUGAUAGUUAGCUUUAAAAAACAUGCAACAUUUCAGUUCCCUGCAAGGGGCUCUGAAAUGUCCCGUGAUAUGUUUCAGAGCCAUUAAGCUUGUUUGCCUCUUUCUGCUUCUCCUUCCUGACCACUGUUGUGGGGGCAGAGAGCCAGAUGUCAGGAGGUUCCUUUCCCAAACCAAUUAGCAUGUCCUCAUAUUUUGCCCUCUUCAGCCACAGCUUGUUCUCGGCUCUCUCCCUGCAUGAAUCAACAGCAGACCCAGGACAGGCAGAGACCAUCAGGAACUUAACCUUCACACAGAGAGAGACUCCAGAUCUCAGAGAGCAGUGCCCAAGAUUCCAAGACAGAACCCUGGGAUUUUCUACUGUUGUCACUCUGUUGCCCACGCUAGAGUGCAGUGGCGUGAUCUUGGCUCACUGCAGCUUCUGCCUCCCAGGUUCAAGUGAUUCUCCUGACUCAGCCUCCCAAGUAGUUGGGAUUACAGGUGUGUGCCACUGUGCCCAGCUAAUUUUUGUAUUUUUAGUAGAGACAGGUUUCACCAUGUUCGCUAGGCUGGGUUUGAACUCCUGACCUCAGGUGAUCUGUCUGCCUUGGCCUCCCAAAGCGCUGGGAUUACAGGUGUGAGCCACUGUGCAUAGCUAGCUUAAUCAUUCUUUAUAUUAAGCUUCCCUUAUUUAAAUCACUGUUUGGUUCCUGUCUCCUGAUUGGACCCCAGUUGAUGCACUCACUAAAUGUUGGUGUGAAGUCACAGACAAGGUAGAGUUUCCUAUGGGCAGGUUCUUUAUCAUAUAUCUCACAUCACUACAAGCACCUGCCUAUUUUAAUGCCUGACACAUAGAAAGUCUUGAAUAAGUUCUGAUUAAUUGAGCACAAUUUAAGUUAAUUUUAACACCCCUAUUUGUUGAGAUGUAAUAACAGCCUACUGAGAGGUCCAGCAUGCUGAGAGGAAAGAGUCAAAAAUUUGUUCAUGUAUGUGAUCAUUUAUUUGUUCAGUAAUGUUGAUCAAUAAUGUUGACUGGGAUAAGCAGCACUGGCUCCAACUGCAGGUCAAACAGCAGAAUUGGCCCCAACUGGGAGGCAGAGUGAAUGAUUGCUGUUAGAGGACAAGCAAAGGGAACAUUCAGAAGGAAAGAAUGAAAACAACACAGACCCAGAAAGAACCAGGGAAAUACAAAGUGCUGUAACCACUUCUGAGGCUCAGAGGGGACAAAUGACCUGUCCCAUGUCAUGUAGCCCUCUUCUUGGCAGAGCCAAGAGUAGAGAGCAGAUUCUAUAAUCCUCAGUCUAAACUCUUGACAUUACAUAUUGCAUUGCUUCUGCAAGUGGGGCGGGAAGGGGUGGUAAUGCAAACUGCCAUUUCGGGAAGUGGUUAAAAAAAUACCUUAAAAUGUGAUUAUCCUUUACCUAGUAGUUCUAAAGAAGUCCAUGUUUGGGAUCCAAGAAAUUCCCCUGCCAGUGCUAUUACCUUUUGGAAAACAACUAGCAGUCUGUCAAAUAUGCUAGAUUUGGGGUUUGACGCCCCUCAAGGUAAUCAGUGACCUGUUAAACCACAGUAUCUCAAGCCUUGUAGGCAAAGCAAAAUGUUACCUGUCCUACCCCCGCUCAAAGUAUCCAUCAUUUCUCUGAUGUAGUCUCACACCCAUAUGUAAAGCCUCUCUAGCACUCCUUUCCAAAAUCUGUAGCUUAAUUAUGCUAAUGAUCUUCAUUUAUCAUGUUGGUUUACUUAUCAGGACAUUUUCCUAUUUCUGGUCAGAUGUUUUUCCAGGGAGCCAAGGCAUGGAAUCCUUCAUUAAGUGGGGAAGAACCAACAGAAUUUGUUCCACAUAUUCCUCUGACACAUCCCCAAAAGCAUGACUUCUAGCCUGAAUCCUACAAUGAAUGUAUGGGCGUAUGUGACACACUGUAAUUUUUCAUCAACAGAUGGGUCACAUAUGAGCCAAAGAUGAAUGUAGAUGUAGCAAGGUCUGUAUGAACUAAGCCAAACCAUGUUUAGAAUGUCUUUGUUGGCUGUCAUUGGGAAGUAGUGCGUGCUGAUUAACUGAUUUGAGAUGCGCAUACGCCUCUGUGCUGGAAAGCAAGAGACACGUGGGUCCAGAGAAAAUGGACCGGCCUGUAAAGUGUCUUAGCAGAGGCCAGAUGCUCUGCAAGGAGUUCCUGUGAAAUGAGAGCUAUACUUUUCAGACCACCUCUAGCUGAAUAUAUCUAAUUGGGAGUUGCAGGUACAUGGGAAAUAAAAUUUCCCUCACUGGGGAAUUUGCUGCAGUGAGGAUGGCUCUAUUAAAUCAGUGAGGAAGCAAACUUCCAAGACUUGGAAAUACUUACUUAGGCUAUACACUUUGUAGGCUGGGCUUGCUCUAAGAGCCAGUCCUGAGAUGCUUUCUGGCCUGAUGGUUUUCAACAAAGCCACUAUUUUUCUUUCUCUCUUCUUCCCUGUGUCUCUCAUUCCUUGCACAUAUACUGUUCUAGAGAUCUAAGGUUUUCUCCAGGAAUACUCUUCUUUUACUUUUGUUUUAUUCAUUUAAGAGACACUGCUAAACUCUGGGAAUACAGCAGCCCUCCGUGCAACUUCUUUUUGUUCGUUUUUAAAUUGGGCAACACCUAAUUCCAUAAAAUAGAAUGAGUGUUUCUGAGACUUCUAUUUUAGUCAAAAUCUUGCCAUCCUCUCUUAAUAACCAAUAUAGGAUUCUGUUACAGAGAGAUUCAGAAUAGUAGACUUCUGGACCUUGGAUGUCAUUGAGUUUAAGAGAAAGGCAGUCCCAGGACUCUGGUCUAGCAGCUGAGUAAGGCUCAGGCCUUAGAAUGGCUUAGCUUGCUCCAUUGCAAUGCAUCAUCCUGGAUGUUAAAAUCCAGCUGUCUCUCUGAAAACUAAAUAUGAAAGACUGAGAUUUAGUCAACUUUGCUGAGAUUUAAUUUACAUAUAAUAAAAUGAAUCAUUUUAACCGUGCAGUUCAGUAAGUUUUGAAAAAUGUAUAUACAGAUUCAUGUAACUACCACCAAAAUUGAGAAAGGACACUUCCACCAUCUCAAAAGAUUCUGUGUGUUCCUUUGUAGUAAGUCUCUUCUACCCCAUCCCUAGACAACAGCUGAUGUGCUGUCAUUGUACACAUAUAUUAGCUUUGACUGUCCUAGAACUUCAUGUUAAUGGGAAGCAUCCUGUAUGUACUGUUUUGUGUCUGGCUUCUUCAGUGUAUUUUUGAAAUUUAUCCACGUUGUUGUGUGUACCCAAGGUGUGUUCUUUUUCAUUGCCAAAUAAUGUUCUGCUAUAUGAAUAUACUACAAAAUAUUUGUCUGUUUAUCUGUUGGUGGAUUUUUGGAUUCGUUCCAGUUUGGGGCUAUUAUGAAUAAAGCUUCUAUGAAAAUUCA